CAAAAACAUCGCCUCUUGAAUAACUAUAAGAGGUCCAGCCUGCCCAGUGACUUUGUUCAACGGCCGCGGUAUCCUAACCGUGCGAAGGUAGCGUAAUCACUUGUCUUUUAAAUGGGGACUUGUAUGAAUGGCAUCACGAGGGUUAUACUGUCUCCUUUUUCUAAUCAGUGAAACUAAUCUUCCCGUGAAGAAGCGGGAAUAAACAUAUAAGACGAGAAGACCCUAUGGAGCUUUAAACUCAAUAACAAAUACUAACCUUACAUUAACCUUCAGAAUAUUAACCUUAAUUUUAGUAUUAUGAUUAUUAGUUUUAGGUUGGGGUGACCGCGGAGUAAAAAUUAACCUCCACAUUGAACGGGACCUAUCCCUGAGCCAAGAACUACAGCUCAAAGCACCAACAAAUUGACAUUAAUUGACCCAAUAUUUUGAUCAACGAACCAAGUUACCCUAG
This 451-nucleotide ribosomal RNA is filed under the name Osteocephalus taurinus group sp. ABGD cluster 12. RNAcentral's name for it is "partial large subunit ribosomal RNA". It matches the Rfam family "Bacterial large subunit ribosomal RNA", at positions 1808 to 2471 of the family's 2925-position model. Lineage: Eukaryota; Metazoa; Chordata; Amphibia; Anura; Hylidae. The record is from RNAcentral.